RNAcentral lists this ribosomal RNA (445 nucleotides) under uncultured bacterium. RNAcentral describes it as "partial 16S ribosomal RNA". It matches the Rfam family "Bacterial small subunit ribosomal RNA", at positions 338 to 795 of the family's 1533-position model. The record is from RNAcentral.
CCUACGGGAGGCAGCAGUGGGGAAUAUUGGGCAAUGGAGGCAACUCUUACCCAGCAAUGUCGCGUGAAUGAAGAAGGUCUUCGGAUUGUUAAGUUCUUUAAUUGGGGACGAAAAAAAUGACGGUACCCAAGGAAUAAGCCUCGGCUAACUACGUGCCAGCAGCCGCGGUAAUACGUAGGGGGCAAGCGUUGUUCGGAAUGACUGGGCGUAAGGGGUGUGUAGGCGGUGUAGCAAGAUAGAAGUGUAAUACCUAGGGCGUAACACAGGUGCUGCUUCUAAAACUGCUAUACUUGAGUGCGGUAGAGGAAAGUGGAAUUCCUAGUGUAGCGGUGGAAUGCGUAGAUAUUAGGAGGAACAUCAGUGGCGAAGGCGACUUUCUGGACUGUAGCUGACGCUGAAGCACGAAAGUGUGGGGAGCAAACAGGAUUAGAUACCCCUGGUAGUC